Hipposideros armiger (great roundleaf bat) is the source of this 1347-nucleotide long non-coding RNA. RefSeq lists it as uncharacterized. The transcript has 3 exons. The record is from RefSeq and is a predicted model, not a curated record. Lineage: Eukaryota; Metazoa; Chordata; Mammalia; Chiroptera; Hipposideridae.
AACAGCGUCCACUUGGCCCUCCCGCCAGUGAGCUAUCCAGGAGGCUGAAGAAUCUCUCUGCCAUAGGGAGCUCCAGGAAUCUGCGGUGAGCCCAACAGCAAAGGCUCCUGAGGCUGCAGGCCUAUCCCAGGAGGCAGCAACAGGCAGAGGGGAGCUUCCUUAAACCCCUCCCGGGAAAGCUGGGGAGAGCAGCUCCAUUGCUGGUCGGCUCUGUCCUUACUUGCCAGUGACUGUGACACAGGAUCAAAGCAGAAGAAUACACAGCAGUGCUUUGUGAGCUGAGAGGUGCCUCACCCCAGCUGACACCCGCCGCUCAGUACGUGGACUCCUGCCCUGGGCCACGAUCCACGAAGAACCUCCAGCCAAGCCAGUUUCUCUAAGAGCAAGCAGGGGCAGUGACCGGGUAGCAUCUAAUGAGAAAAGAUGGUCUUGUCCGCCGGGACAGAUUCCGCUCGCCCUUCCAUCCUCCGUCUAAUCUCCACCUCUCCUAUUUGACCCUUAGCUGGGGUGGGUGCUAUUGGAGCCUGAGACGGGCUGCUGGACAAAGGGUGUGGCAUUUUCAAAGCAGUCAUUUGGCCUGCACUUAGCCAGAAAGAGGAACAGAAGAAAGGGAGUACAGAACGCAUCAGCUCAAAACCUCCUCCCACGGUGCUGCUUGCACAGCUGCUUCUUUUGAUGAAGGAAGGUUCUUCUGGGCCGUGGCGGAGGACCAGUGUUCCACUGCAGGGGUGGUGGGCAGGGCGCAGGGAGCCAUCCUACCCUUUGUACCAUUUUAGGUGCUGGAGACAAAGCAGUGAAUAAGAGAAAAGAUGUCAGUGCUCACAGAGCCUGCAUUCUGGCGAAUGACUCAGGACACAUGAAACUAAACAGGUGAAUACAGGCUAGAAUGUCAAUGCCACAAACUGAAGGUGACCACAAAGUCUUUGACAGUCCUUCCAUCAAGAGGUGAAGUCUGUGUCCCUACUCCUUGAAUCAUAGUGGGUUCUGUGACAACUUUGAUUACAGGCUGUGCUAGUUUUCUGACCCAGGACUCAAGAACACUGGCAGUUCCCACUUCUGGUCUCUUGGGCUACUCACUCUUGGAGUCCUGAGCCACCAUGUGAGAAGGGGAACUAUGCUUCUGCAGACACCACGCGGCGAGCCCCUGAGACUACACGGAGAGGGUGAGUGCCCCCAAGGAGCCCAGUCUUCCACUGUACCUGCCUUCUAGAGGGGCGCCUUCCUGAAUUCUCCACACCAGCCCAGCUGCCAGCUGAAUACCCCGAGUGAUCUCACAGGAUGCUAAGGGGAGCAGAAUGGCCCAGCUGCUCUUCAUCCAAAUCCUUGACGUGGUCAUAAUAAAAGGAC